This 774-nucleotide ribosomal RNA is filed under the name uncultured Neocallimastigales. RNAcentral's name for it is "partial large subunit ribosomal RNA". It matches the Rfam family "Eukaryotic large subunit ribosomal RNA", at positions 22 to 635 of the family's 3401-position model. Lineage: Eukaryota; Fungi; Neocallimastigomycota; Neocallimastigomycetes; Neocallimastigales. The record is from RNAcentral.
GUACACGCUGUGACUAGCAUAUCAAUAAGCGGAGGAAAAGAAACUAACAAGGAUUCCCCUAGUAACGGCGAGUGAAGCGGGAAGAGCUCAAAUUUGAAAUCUUAAAGGGUUUCCCUUUACGAAUUGUAGUUUAAAGAAGUGUUUUCUGUUGAGGUUUUGGUAAAAGUUCUUUGGAAUAGGACAUCAUAGAGGGUGAGAAUCCCGUAUUUGACCUUUACUUUCAACUUUGUGAUACACUUUCAAAGAGUCGUAUUGUUUGGGAAUGCAGUCCAAAAUGGGUGGUAAAUUUCAUCUAAAGCUAAAUAUUGGCGAGAGAUCGAUAGCGAACAAGUACCGUGAGGGAAAGAUGAAAAGAACUUUGAAAAGAGAGUUAAACAGUACGUGAAAUUGUCAAAAGGGAAGCGUUUGACACCAGUGUUGUUUUUCUGAAAAUCAAUUAAAGAACUGUUUAUGCUAAGCUGUUUAGACUUUAUCAGCUAUCUGUUUAGUUUUGAGCUUUUCUUUAAUGCACUUUUCAGUUAACAAGUCAACAUCAAUUUCUUUUGCUGUAAAAAAGCUUGAGGAAGGUGGCUUGAGAUUCGUCUUAAGUGUUUAUAGCCUCUUGCCUAUGCAGUCGGAGAGAUUGAGGUCUGCAGCGUAGAUCCUUCGGGGCUAAAUGCAUUUGUGCUAAGUUAUAGCAUUUUAUAGACAACUUGUUGACUAUGAUUUGUCCUGUAGCUUACUCGCUUAUGUUAUUUUACCUACGCUUAGGAUGUUGAAGAUGUAGCACAUCAU